GAAGACCUACGGGACGCAGCAGUGGGGAAUAUUGCACAAUGGGGGAAACCCUGAUGCAGCGACGCCGCGUGAGUGAAGAAGUAAUUCGUUAUGUAAAGCUCUAUCAGCAGGGAAGAAAAUGACGGUACCUGAGUAAGAAGCCCCGGCUAACUACGUGCCAGCAGCCGCGGUAAUACGUAGGGGGCAAGCGUUAUCCGGAUUUACUGGGUGUAAAGGGAGCGUAGACGGCAGUGCAAGUCUGGAGUGAAAGGCGGGUG
Molecule: ribosomal RNA, 257 nt
Filed under: uncultured bacterium
Lineage: Bacteria
Description: partial 16S ribosomal RNA
Rfam family: Bacterial small subunit ribosomal RNA
Source: RNAcentral